Molecule: ribosomal RNA, 468 nt
Filed under: uncultured bacterium
Lineage: Bacteria
Description: partial 16S ribosomal RNA
Rfam family: Bacterial small subunit ribosomal RNA
Source: RNAcentral
GACGAACGCUGGCGGCGUGCUUAACACAUGCAAGUCGAACGGAAAGGCCCUGCUUUUGUGGGGUGCUCGAGUGGCGAACGGGUGAGUAACACGUGUGUAACCUGCCCUUGACUUUGGGAUAACUUCAGGAAACUGGGGCUAAUACCGGAUAGGAUCUCCUGCUGCAUUGUGGGUGUUGGAAAGUUUCGGCGGUUGGGGAUGGACUCGCGGCUUAUCAGCUUGUUGGUGGGGUAGUGGCUUACCAAGGCUUUGACGGGUAGCCGGCCUGAGAGGGUGACCGGCCACAUUGGGACUGAGAUACGGCCCAGACUCCUACGGGAGGCAGCAGUGGGGAAUAUUGCACAAUGGGCGGAAGCCUGAUGCAGCAACGCCGCGUGCGGGAUGACGGCCUUCGGGUUGUAAACCGCUUUCGCCUGUGACGAAGCGUGAGUGACGGUAAUGGGUAAAGAAGCACCGGCUAACUACGUG